GAUGAACGCUGGCGGCGUGCUUAACACAUGCAAGUCGAACGGAAAGGCUCCUGCUUGCAUGGGUACUCGAGUGGCGAACGGGUGAGUAACACGUGGGUGAUCUGCCCUGCACUUCGGGAUAAGCCUGGGAAACUGGGCCUAAUACCGGAUAGGACGAUGGUUUGGAUGCCAUUGUGGAAAGUUUUUCGGUGUGGGAUGGACUCGCGGCCUAUCAGCUUGUUGGUGGGGUAAUGGCCUACCAAGGCGUCGACGGGUAACCGGCCUGAGAGGGUGUACGGCCACAUUGCGACUGAGAUACGGCCGAGACACCUACCGGAGGCAGCAGUGGGGAAUAUUGCACAAUGAGCGAAAGCCUGAUGCAGCGACGCAGCGUGGGGGAUGACGGCCUUCGGGUUGUAAACUCCUUUCGCUAGAGACGAAGCGCAAGUGACGGUCCCUGGAGAAGAAGCACCGGCUACCUACGUG
Molecule: ribosomal RNA, 465 nt
Filed under: uncultured bacterium
Lineage: Bacteria
Description: partial 16S ribosomal RNA
Rfam family: Bacterial small subunit ribosomal RNA
Source: RNAcentral